Colossoma macropomum (tambaqui) is the source of this 1242-nucleotide long non-coding RNA. RefSeq lists it as uncharacterized. The record is from RefSeq and is a predicted model, not a curated record. Lineage: Eukaryota; Metazoa; Chordata; Actinopteri; Characiformes; Serrasalmidae. The transcript is spliced from 3 exons.
CCUCCUCGUACAUCAGAUUGCUAGGCUCUGCCAGGCUCUGGUUGAUACCUUCCCUCACCCGGGCAUCCAAACUGACCUGCAAGAGACAAUACAAAAAUCAGCAUGAGGACCAGAAAGAGGACAUGACCUACCAGAGGCAUUUGCAGCAACCGCACCAGCAGAGACAGCAGGUGUUCGGCCUUGGAUGACCAGGGGCCUGCGGAGGUCCUUCAAUAUGCGCCUGCUGCCGUUUCCUCAUUUCAACUCCACUCACACUCUGAGGCUAAACAAAACCAGGACUUGUCCCGCCUCUCACCCUGUUCCCCCAACUGUCCCAGUGGAAGCCUAUUGUGCUCUUGUGCACAUUACCAUACACAUUCCAGGGAAUCAAGUGAUGCACAGUACAGCCACGGCUGGCUGCACACUGGACGCACCCUUCUGCUGUUAGACAUCUCAUGUCACACCUUGCAUCAAACAUAAACCAGAAAAGCCCAUCUCAGAUCUAUUCUUAUCAAUGAACAACUGUUUCAGUGUUUCAGCAGAGGGUGGAUAUCACACUAGCAUCAACACUCAUGAUCAUUUCCUGCUGUUAGGAAGCUUGGGGAACACCUGGUCUGAGCUACAGAGAGAAAGAGAGGUGGAAACUCUGUCAACCAACAAAAUAUUAAACAUUUAGGCUAUGUGAUCAUUUACCACAGCAAACCUAUGAAAUAUGAGGAAUAGUAUGCAAAUGCGUUGCUGAUUAUAUCAUUAUGUAAAUAAUUGUGUUUUCCAGGCACAUGGGGAACGGUAGCAGGAUACUGUUUGACUUUUAGACACAAAGUGUAACAAAUGCAAAUAUGUGGAUGCCUACGUGCAUGUCUGACAGUGUGUACGUGUGGUAGAACUCAGGUACGGACGUCCACAUGACUGCACAAUUGUACCUUUCCAUUGUCAGUUCAGAUUCUGAUUUGGAUACAGGGGUUCUAUAUCUUGCAAAACAAAAUUUUCAAAAAAAGAUUAAAUUUUUUGUUAUGUAUAUUAAAUUGUCAUGGCCAAACAAUUUAACGAAUGCCUCUGUGAUGACCUACUGUACAAGCAUACUUUGAAUGUAUACUAACAAGUAAACAAGUAGAAUGACUCAUCCUCACAGCAACGCGGUCUGUCAUGUACGCACAUAUCUGCUUGCAUUAACAUAAGCUCACUGCGUAAAUUGAGUGGAAGUUUUGUGACAGUCUUGGCACUUCACAGAAAACUCAUCAAUGAGGGUCGAUUCGUCGAGGG